ACAGUUAGACAUAAAUAAGAUUAAAGUUAAUGUCAUAGGGAAUAAAAAAAUACAAAUAAUACUCUCUGGAGAGAGAGAUAGAGUGGGCCUUUAAUGGUUAGAAGACAAAUACUAUAUAUAAAGUAAAGUAAAAAAACAAAUCUUUUUUCAAGAAGAGUGUGUGUGUGUGUGUGUGACUGUGUGUGCAUAUGUAUAUGUGUGUGUGUUGAAAUUUAUUUGAAUGCAUUUUCUAACUCUUGUGAAAACCCUUUGACUAAUUAGGGUUUAUUUGGACCAACUUCAAGUUAUGGCAUUGCUACUACUACAUUUUUCCAGCUGGUGGUUUUUUCACCAAGAAAGGUCAGAUAGAGAAGUAGGACUCGGGCUUGCUUUCGAGGUUUUGAGGUGUUCGACUGUUAAACCUGGUUGAAUUUUCUGUUCCUUGUGCUUUUCUGGAACAUGUGAACUUGUAAUGUAAGUACAUUGUUCCUUAAGUAGGGAAUGAAGCCAUCGGUCCGCGAAGCAUAUCAAGCUUUGUAUCAUAUUUUGACAAUAUUACUAGCAAUGAUUCAUAGUGGAUGAAGUAUUUUUUGCAUAUAUAAACUAGCCAGGUUUAUAUUUUCCUUCAAACUUCAAAGAAGAUCUAAGGCUCAAUUAGCUUGAAUGUCUAUGGUCAUUGGAUAUUUAACGUGUAUUAUAUUAGGGACUAGUCUUCUUUUAUUUUCACU
Long non-coding RNA from Lycium barbarum (goji berry), 707 nucleotides. RefSeq lists it as uncharacterized. Lineage: Eukaryota; Viridiplantae; Streptophyta; Magnoliopsida; Solanales; Solanaceae. The record is from RefSeq and is a predicted model, not a curated record. The transcript is spliced from 2 exons.